GCGGACUACGCGGGUUUCUAAUCCCGUUCGCUCCCCUAGCUUUCGCGUCUGAGCGUCAGGAAUGGUCCAGGAGGCCGCCUUCGCCACUGGUGUUCCUCCCGAUAUCUACGCAUUUCACCACUACACCGGGAAUUCCACCUCCCUCUACCACCCUCUAGUCCGACAGUAUUGAACGACCUCUCCCAGUUGAGCCAGGAGAAUUCACAUCCAACUUACCGAACCGCCUGCACGCGCUUUACGCCCAGUAAAUUCGGAUAACGCUCGGAUCCUACGUUUUACCGCGGCUGCUGGCAC
RNAcentral lists this unclassified non-coding RNA (294 nucleotides) under uncultured Anaerolineaceae bacterium. RNAcentral describes it as "contains 16S-23S intergenic spacer region". Lineage: Bacteria; Bacillati; Chloroflexota; Anaerolineae; Anaerolineales; Anaerolineaceae. The record is from RNAcentral.